This 1432-nucleotide ribosomal RNA is filed under the name Candidatus Amesbacteria bacterium GW2011_GWA2_42_12. RNAcentral's name for it is "bacterial SSU rRNA". It matches the Rfam family "Bacterial small subunit ribosomal RNA". The record is from RNAcentral. Lineage: Bacteria; Candidatus Amesiibacteriota.
UUUGAGAGUUUGAUCCUGGCUCAGGAUGAACGCUGGCGGAGUGCCUUAAGCAUGCAAGUGAAACGGGUACGUUCGUGCGCAAGCACCGAACGUACUAGUCGCAGACGGGUGAGUAAUACAUAGGAAUCUACCCAUUGGUGUGGAAUAACUAGCCGAAAGGCUGGCUAAUACCGCAUAAUCUCGUGACAUGAGUAAAGGGCGUAACUGCCCGCCGAUGGAGGAGCCUAUGUCCUAUCAGUUAGUUGGUGGGGUAAUGGCCUACCAAGACUAUGACGGGUAGCUGGACUGAGAAGUUGGUCAGCCACAAUAGCACUGAGACACGGGCUAUACAUCUACGGAUGGCAGCAACUGGGAAUAUUGCGCAAUGGACGAAAGUCUGACGCAGCGACUCCGCGUGAGGGAUGAAGGCCUUAGGGUCGUAAACCUCUUUUGACAGGGAAGUCCCGAUUUAAUCGGGAGACGGUACCUGUAGAAUAAGCACCUGCUAACCACGUGCCAGCAGCCGCGGUAAUACGUGGGGUGCAAGCGUUAUCCGGAUUUAUUGGGCGUAAAGAGUUCGUAGGUUUUUUGUUAAGUUCCGUUUGAAAUCCCGAGGCUCAACCUCGGACCCGGACGGAAAACUAGCAAAAUUGAGUUUGUCAGGGGGCACUGGAAUUGACGGUGUAGCAGUGAAAUGCGUUGAUAUCGUCAAGAACACCAAGGACGAAGGUAGGUGCCUGGGACACAACUGACACUGAGGAACGAAAGCUAGGGGAGCGAAACAGAUUAGAGACCUGUGUAGUCCUAGCCGUAAACGAUGUCCGUUUGAUCUUCGGGCGCAAGCCUGGGGGUCGGAGCUAACGCGUUAAACGGACCGCCUGGGGAGUACGGUCGCAAGACUAAAACUCAAAGGAAUUGACGGGAAAGAGCACAACCAGGGGAGCAUGUGGUUUAAUUCGAUACUAAGCGAAAGACCUUACCCAGAUUUGACAUGAUACCGUUCACCUAACUGGAAACAGAUGGGGAUCAGCAAUGAUGGUAUCACAGCUGCUGCAUGGCUAUCGUCAGCUCGUGCCGUGGGGUGUCUGCUUAAGUGCAGGAACGAGCGCAACCCCUACCCAAUGUUCAAUGGUCAUUGGGAACUGCCCCGCCUUUGCGGGGAGGAAGGAGGGGAUGAUGUUAAGUCAGCAUGGCGCUUAUAUCUGGGGCGACACACAUCCUACAAUGGGAAGGAACAAUGAGUUGCCAAACCGCAAGGUGGAGCUAAUCUCAACAAAACUUCCCUCAGUUCAGAUUGGGGGCUGCAACCCGCCCCCAUGAAGAUGGACUUGGUAGUAAUCGCGGAUCAGCAGGCCGCGGUGAAUACGUUCUCUCUUUUUGUACACACCGCCCAUCAAGCCAGCAAAGUUAAACAAGGUAUCCCUAGCCGAAGCUGGGGAUGGAUCACCUCCUU